This 1407-nucleotide unclassified non-coding RNA is filed under the name uncultured fungus. RNAcentral's name for it is "sequence contains 18S rRNA gene, ITS1, 5.8S rRNA gene, ITS2, 28S rRNA gene". The stretch from base 426 to 1407 matches the Rfam family "Eukaryotic large subunit ribosomal RNA", at positions 1 to 961 of the family's 3401-position model. The record is from RNAcentral. Lineage: Eukaryota; Fungi.
GGAAGGAUCAUUCACGUUUUCAAAGUUUUCAAAAUUGUGGAAAUUUUUGGGCCCCGUGUAUGUGGUGAUCAAUUUAAGCUUACGCCAAAUUUUUUUUUCGCGUCACGGAGUUCCAGCAACUAAUCGAGAUGAAAUUCAACACAAAUUAUUAAACUUUCAGCAAUGGACGUCUUGGCUCCCAGUUCGAUGAAGGACGCAGCAAAGUGCGAUAAGCUAUGCGAAUUGCAGACAUCUGUGAGCCAUCAGGUUUCUGAACGCAAAUGGUGGCUUGGGGACUUGUCCCUAGCCGCACUUGGAUCAGUGUCGCAAAAAACUCACAUUCCUAGGUGUCGUUUGUCCGCAAUUCGUCGCCUGCCUUAUUAACAUCUAACAUCAUUAAGUGUGCUUUUUUGAUCAUUUCUAGUUAGAUCGAUUUAUUAACUAACCGACCUGAUCUCCAGUGAGACAACCCGCUGAAUUUAAGCAUAUAAUUAAGCGGAGGAGAGGAAACUAAGCAGGAUUCCCCUAGUAAUGGCGAACGAAGAGGGAAGAGCUCAAAAUGUAAAUCGUGUGCUUUACGCACACGAGUUGUAGUUUCUAGAAGUAUGACCAGUGAACGUCGCACGGCAAAAGUCUCUUGGGAGAGAACACCGAAGAGGGUGAGAGUCCCGUAUUUGCUGUGCAGAACGCUUACAAACGGGGUACUUUCGUAGAGUCGCGUUUCUUGGGAGUGAAACGCAAAUUUGGUGGUAAACUUCAUCUAAGGCUAAAUACAUUUGGGAGACCGAUAGCGAACAAGUACCUUGAGGGAAAGAUGAAAAGAACUUUGAAAAGAGGGUUAAAAUUGCCCGAAAUUGCUGAAAAGGAAGCGGUGGUGAUCUGUGGAUUCUCAUGUCGGUAGCCAUUGGCGUGGAACUCAAAUCAUAGCAGUGUGGUUUUAUGUCUCCGUGUCGUUUGCUGUUAUGGCAUGAGGAGUUGGUAGUCGCAGCUUGCGUAUGCGCCAUACCGGCCGAAAUUAAGGACUUUUAGUCGCUCCAUUUCGGUUGGUUUACGUGCACUACAGGCUGUUUGUAUCGUUGAGUAAUUCGCUUCGGCAUUCCUUCGCGUUUGACUACCGAUAGAUUGCAACCGGCCCGUCUUGAAACACGGAUCAAGGAGUCUAACAGUUAUGCGAGUCCGCAGGAGGCAAACCUUGCGGCGUAAUUAAUGUGAUUUGCUUACUCCAUAAGCAACCGACCACAAUCUUUGAGAGAGGUUUGAGUAUGAGCAUAUCUGUUGGGACCCGAAAGAUGGUGAACUAUUCCUGAAUAGAGUGAAGCCAGGGGAAACCCUGGUGGAGGCUCGUAGCGAUACUGACGUGCAAAUCGUUCGUCAAAUUUGGGUAUAGGGGCGAAAGACUAAUCGAACCAUCUAGUAGCUGGUUCCCUC